Molecule: ribosomal RNA, 253 nt
Filed under: uncultured bacterium
Lineage: Bacteria
Description: partial 16S ribosomal RNA
Rfam family: Bacterial small subunit ribosomal RNA
Source: RNAcentral
UACGGAGGGUGCAAGCGUUAUCCGGAUUCACUGGGUUUAAAGGGUGCGUAGGUGGGUUGGUAAGUCAGUGGUGAAAUCUCCAGGCUUAACUUGGAAACUGCCAUUGAUACUAUCAAUCUUGAAUACCGUGGAGGUCAGCGGAAUAUGUCAUGUAGCGGUGAAAUGCGUAGAUAUGACAUAGAACACCAAUUGCGAAGGCAGCUGGCUACACGAAUAUUGACACUGAUGCACGAAAGCGUGGGGAUCAAACAGG